Non-coding RNA from Labrus bergylta (ballan wrasse), 966 nucleotides. The record is from RefSeq and is a predicted model, not a curated record. NCBI's taxonomy places the organism in Eukaryota, Metazoa, Chordata, Actinopteri, Labriformes, Labridae.
UUGAGCCUGGUGUAUCUUGGAUGAUGGUGUUCAGUCCAGCCAUCACGGUCCUCUCCACCUUCCUGUGCCUGACUUUUGUUUAUCUCUGCAGUCAGAAUGCAGAUGAAAAAGAUCAAAUGACUGAGAGAAGACCUGACAUGGGAGAGGAAAGUACAGUGAAUCAGGAUGAAGACGCAUGUUUCACCAGAGUUGUGUUCUUGUGUGUCGAUGGACAGAACAAAUAGAUUGGCUUUGUCUGAGCGGACAUCACACAACCUCCACUUCAAACGUCUCACAAAGUCUUUAGCGUCUGAGUUUAAAGACCUGUUAUAUUUGUAUACAGUGAUGAUGCGUUUUGGGGGCGGAGUCAAAAUGAUGUCAGAAAGUCAGCUAGUGGUGUUGAAUUAACUGUUUGUUUGUUUGUUUUCUGGCUUCUUGCCUUCACUUGAUAAGACGGUGUAUAGAGUAGUAAACAGGAAAGAGAGAGGGGGGAAUGACAUGUGGUAAUGGAACCACAGGCCGGACCUGAACCACCCGCCCAGAGGACCAGAGCUUCCAAACAUUCGGGGCAACCCAACCAGCAGGUCAGCUGUGGUCAUGAAUUAACAAUUGGGUCUUCGGCAGAUGUUCAGCAGAAGCAGCUUUUGAGGACCCUUGUUUACUAUCACAAUGACGUUAAUCAUCCUACUACGACGCUCGAUGGCCGAUUAGGAUCCAAUUUGUCAAUGUCUUCAGAGACAUAAACAUCAACAAAACAGAUAUUUUCAACAAGUAAACAAGUAAACAAGUAUCGUUAUUAUAGCAAAGAUUACUUUGACACGACUAAAAGUGACAGCAAGAGAUCGCUGCCAGGCUUAGAACUGUGCAACCCAAUACAUGGCCUUCCUGGGCACCCACAGUGCUGCACUUUCAGGAGGAAGACUCAGAUUUCAUUUUAACUAGUUCACCACAAUGAAUUAAUUUUUUUAACAUUAAUCCCGUUUUAGU